RNAcentral lists this ribosomal RNA (263 nucleotides) under uncultured bacterium. Its description in RNAcentral is "partial 16S ribosomal RNA". It matches the Rfam family "Bacterial small subunit ribosomal RNA", at positions 91 to 354 of the family's 1533-position model. The record is from RNAcentral.
CUUAGUGGCGGACGGGUGAGUAACGCGUGGGUAACCUGCCUUAUACAGGGGGAUAACACUUAGAAAUAGGUGCUAAUACCGCAUAAGCGCACGGGGCUGCAUGGCCCAGUGUGAAAAACUCCGGUGGUAUAAGAUGGACCCGCGUCUGAUUAGCUUGUUGGCGGGGUAACGGCCCACCAAGGCGACGAUCAGUAGCCGGCCUGAGAGGGUGAACGGCCACAUUGGGACUGAGACACGGCCCAAACUCCUACGGAAGGCAGCAG